CUCUAUAUAUAUAUGUAAAAACCCUGGUCAUUUAUAAGCAACAAUCCUCUCCUCUCGUUGCUUGAUGCGGCCUCACAAAACCGGGAACCAAAAGACAGUAAGCAAAACUAAACCGAAGAAACAAGUUGAACACUUUGGAGACCUACCGGAACUCGAAACGGAAGCAUUUUCGUGUUCUUACUUCUUAGCUUAUGGUGUCGGUGAACCCCAACCCGGCUCAGGGUUUUUACUUCUUGGAUCCCAUGAGUAUGGGUCUUCCUGGCCUCAAUUCUCUGCCGCCGCAGAUGAAUUCGACUGCUCCUACUACUACAACUACUAAUACUGUCACCACUG
This 333-nucleotide unclassified non-coding RNA is filed under the name Hevea brasiliensis (rubber tree). Lineage: Eukaryota; Viridiplantae; Streptophyta; Magnoliopsida; Malpighiales; Euphorbiaceae. The record is from RNAcentral.